AUGUCGGGGCAGCUUUUUCAUGCGGAGGAAAAACAAACCAGAAGAAAAUGUCGGCGGUGUGGAAAUACUUCAGCAUAGAUACGGCGUCGAGUACAAUAGCUAUAUGCAAGACUUGCGGCACGAAAGUUUCGAGAGGUGGAGUUAAACAGACCAGUUUCAAUACAACGAACCUAAUAAAACAUUUGAAGACGAAACAUGUGAACGAAUACAAAGAGUUUGAGGCUGCAGCAACUGCUAGCAAGCGAGAGCGGGGUGUACAGCAGCAACAAACUCUGGUCAGUUCAUUUCGUAGCAAGGAGCAGAGGGGCGAGAAGAGUGAAGCAGCAAGACAGAUGUCGGAAAAAAAUCACCGAAAUGACUGUUCUCUGUAACCUGCCCCUUUCCUUUGUUGAAAGCGUGGGGUUCCGUUUUUUUAUGGCUCACGCAGUACCUAAGUAUAUGGUCCCAAGUCGCAAAUACAUCACGGAGACGACGAUCCCUGCAGUAACUGAGCUUGUUUUAAGAAAGAUGGAGAAGGCAGGGGCCAUAAGCUUUUCAACUGAUAUCUGGAGCAGCCAAGUCUCCCCACUUCCCCUGCUUAGCUUGACGGCCCACUGGGUGGACAUGGAAACAUUCGUUCAGGAAAGCGUAGUACUUAAUGCGAAUGAAUUCAAGGGAUCACACACCGGCGAAGCUAUUGCAGGAGCAAUAGAGAGCAUGCUGCUCAACUGGAGCAUCCCGAAGUCAAAGGCGUUGCUGUUGAGAAGAGAGAGCAUGAAGCGAGCCACAUCUCCUCUCGCCACUGUGCUGCCCACAGGGUUCCCGCUGCUGUCAGGCACAAAGUAUCCCUCAUGGGUCAAAAACUCUUGAGCUGCACAGGGACACAGAAGUUUGCCUCUGCCCCCUGCUGGCUGCUGUUUGUCUGCUACUACCUGAGGCUGGCAGGUUCUUGAGGCCAGGAGGGCGAACCACAGUCCAGUUGAUGUCCUCAACAUUCAGGAGAAACUUCUCCAUCUCGUGCAUGUUGGUGAGGACGCUUCGGAUCAUCGGCAGCAGGAGGAACCGGAUCAUAUAAGAUGAAUUCGUCCCAGAGUUGGCUAACAACAAAAGAGAUAAACGAUGAAACUCAGAGUGUACCAGGAGGUCAUGGUGAUGAUCCUGUUGACUCGGGCCUGUCGCAUGGCGCUGAUCAUAGCAUUCAUGGACAUCGUGUAGCCCGUCACCGCCGAGAAGAUGGAGGCCGGGAAGCCGAGGCACGACAUGACCACAUCCUG
Acanthopagrus latus (yellowfin seabream) is the source of this 1253-nucleotide long non-coding RNA. RefSeq lists it as uncharacterized. The transcript has 4 exons. The record is from RefSeq and is a predicted model, not a curated record. NCBI's taxonomy places the organism in Eukaryota, Metazoa, Chordata, Actinopteri, Spariformes, Sparidae.